AAGACUAUACUUUCAGGGAUCAUUUCUAUAGUUGGUUACUAGAGAAGUUUCUCUGACUGUGUAGAGCACCCGAAACCACGAGGAGGAGACGCAGUGCUCUCCCCUGAGCGUGAAGCCGGCUCUCGGUACUGCCUCCUGCAGCUGCUGUUAGCCAUUGAUGAUCGUUCUUCUCCUCCUCUGGAGGAGCAAGAGGGGGAGAGCGCAGUCUGAGUGGU
Molecule: small nucleolar RNA, 215 nt
Organism: Acomys russatus (golden spiny mouse)
Lineage: Eukaryota; Metazoa; Chordata; Mammalia; Rodentia; Muridae
Product: small nucleolar RNA U3
Exons: 1
Source: RefSeq, a predicted model, not a curated record